Neofelis nebulosa (Clouded leopard) is the source of this 3470-nucleotide long non-coding RNA. RefSeq lists it as uncharacterized. The transcript has 3 exons. The record is from RefSeq and is a predicted model, not a curated record. NCBI's taxonomy places the organism in Eukaryota, Metazoa, Chordata, Mammalia, Carnivora, Felidae.
GCUCAGCUUUCCCCGCACGUGGGGCUGCAGGGCGGAGAGCCAAACUUGCAGCUCUCAGACCGAGCCCCUGAGCAGGCCUCUUCAGCUCCCGUGGACCCCGGGUCAGCCCAGCUUUCUAGGUCCGGCCUUUCCCCGUUCCACGCCUCGCUGACCCCACUGCACAAAGCCGAGGCGGGGUACGGUGAGGAGGGACGUCUGGAAAGGCGGUGUUGUUGGUGGAAGGGAGAGGGCAGAGAUACUGUCACAUGUCAGCCUCUUUCUAGGUGCGGCUUCCUCCCGGAUCUCUCCACUGCCCUCCAGGGCAUCCCUACCAGCCUCACGCUCCCUCCCUCCGGGGCGUCCAGCCUUCUUACCUCCCUCCUCCUCCUUACCUCCUCGCUGCUAGUCCUUGACUCCCUCCACCCUGCCCCAGCCUUGCCAGCCUGCCGCUCCCUGUCUACCUCUGCAGUUUGUGCAAAGCCCAUCUGCCAGCCCCAGCCCCAACCCCACCAAUGGGGCUCCAAACAGGAGCAAGCCAUCUGCCCAGCCUCUGCCCCGGGGCUUGCCAGGACAGCCUGGAGGGCCCCAUGGGCACUCCUCCCUCUCAGGGAGGGGGAGACUGGGAGUGGAAGUGAGGGCACCUGACAGCUAACCACAUCCAUACCCGUGGAAGCACAGGGUGAUCUCGCCACAUGCCUACAAAUGCCUGGCAGGUCUCCAUGCACCGCGAGGGCGCCCUGCCCGCUCUGUUCCCCUGUCACUCCAGUCACCCCCAUCGGGAGCUACGGCAGAUCCUGGCACAGUCAGGCUAGAGAAACCCUGGCCUUCUCCCCUCGGAAGAGGGAUUUGGUCCACGCUCCCUGACCUGACAUGGAGGAUGAGACCCUGGCAGCACCCCCCCCCCCCAGGAGGCUGGCUGGAGGAGGGGAGGGAGGGACAAAGGAAAGCAGCUCGCACAAGGGGCAGGACAGGACCCUGUUGCAGAGGCAGAAAUCCACCCAUGGAGCACAUUCCUGCUCUACCCGUCCUCCUCUGUCCUCCCCUGCCCGACCCGGAAUGCCUGCCGCACCGGGUAGAAGUAAUGCCCGUUCCUGUCACGUAUGUGAACUGCCAGCAAUGCCUCAUCAUCAUGCCACACUACAGAUGGCUCCGAUCACCACGGUGUCCGAGGAAGCUGCACGGAGGACAUCACUCGAUCGCGGCACUCAGACGUGCACCCCGCUUCCCGAGCCGGCUCCCCGCUUGGUGCGUGGGCACCCACAGCCAGCUUGAGGUGAGGAGGGAGGCACAGUCUUGCCAGCUGCACAGGCACCACCUCGUACCCCGUGAUCUAACUGCCCUGGUCGUCCUGCCACCUGUCUCAGCCCUUCUUCCUCAGGCGCCGCCCCAGACCCUCGCGUGAACCAGGCCGGAGCUGCCUCCUAGGUGGAGAAGAGCAUCCCUUGAUGUGUGAGUCCAUUUGGAGGGACUCCCGGAAGUGCUGCAUCCACUCUCCACUGUGGUCAAGGGCAAGGAGGUGUGCAUGAAGGGCUUCUAAGAUCUUGGUUCCUUUGGCAACAUCAGAGAUGGACAGCACUGCUGAAACCACCUGGCCCCUCCCACUGCACUUGGCCUUGCUCAUGGAGAAGCCUUACUGAGCCUCAGCCCCUGCAGAUCCACGGGAGAUUGCCUGGGGGAUUAAGUGGACGAUGUGUCCGAUGGAAAUCCACACGGAUGGGAAAAGCGGAGAAAUGACAACACACAGGACUGGAAGCAGCAAAGCUGGCGGACGGUGCACUUGGCUGGAGCCAAGCUGGAGGCAGCAGCGUUGAAGCAGAAAACCAACCUGCGGAGUUCCCCAAAGUCUCGUGAACUGGCACCCACAGGUUCCUUUGGAUCAGUUAGUUACCCACAGGGGGAGAACAUAAAUAAAAGCAGGAUUUGGUGGAAGUUGUCUGAGAUGGAACUGGAUCCCUAGAUCCCUCAUCCACUCUGCGACACCAGGGGACCCCCCCUCCCCUUCCCUUUCUCUGGAGUGGGGGUGCUUAGCACUGGCGGUUGACAGGCUCGGUGAGGGCCAUUCCACAUAGGUGAGGAAGUGACCAUUCACAUACAGAAUGUUGUAUCCUUGCCCUUAGGACCCUAGCCCCCUUCUCCUCAGCUCCCGGAAGCUGACUGCCUGGCCUCUGCCGUCCAGCCUGGGGGCUGGGAGAGGUCUCUCCAGGGGUGACCAGCCCAAGAGGAAAGACCUAGAUAGACACUCAACACUGGAGGAGCCCGACAGGAAGCCCCUCUGACCACCGUGCAAGGGAGCGUCCCACGGACAAGCCCACCACCCACUCGGUGCUUCCAGACAGCUUUGGCAGGGUCACCUGCCGACCCAGCACCAACCACGUACGUAUAACCUGGGAGCAAAGGAACUUUAGGAAACGAGCUGCACAGAGAAGAGGCAGUAACUCAAAAUUAUUAUUAAUAUUCCCAGAGAGGCAAGACAUGAAACGUAUUUGGCCUCCAUGAAAUAAGAACAGGAAGGAGUCCAUCGAAAAGAACUAUCUGGAGAAUACAGCACCUUAAAAUAACAGAAUCAAAGUCACUGAAAUUUUUAUUAUAAAAUCAGUUUCAACUUAUGUAUUACCAAUCCUAUCAUGUUCCUAAGAAAAAGACUCGAGGAGGCUUAUAACACACGCACAGUGUAACCAGGAUAAAAAUAAUUAAUGAGAAAAUGAAGGACCCAGAAAAUAAAGAAAAGGAAGAUGAAGCCGAGUAUCACAUUCAUAUGCAAAAUUUGGUCCAUGAGGUCCUUAGGAAGGGAAUUAUGCUUGCAGUACCCCAACUUAAAGGCAAUACUCAUGACUUCCAUUGUCUUUACACCUUGGUUGCUUUCUGUUUGCGCUUGAGUAAAUCCCGAGGACCACUCUGCCUGUGGAACGACCCACGUGCAGAAGACGGCCCCCUUCCUGCCCAUCUGCACCUACCCUAUGUGCCAAUUUUAUCUCCUGGGCAGGAAGAAACUGUCUUUUUUAUUCUCCGUGACUGCUCACUGUCCCAAAGCAGUACCCUGCACCCAGGUACUUACGUAGCUUGUAUUUCGUUAGCCAUUUCUUCCUGCCUUUUUAGAAACGAAAGAAAAGGGGACACACCUCACUCGGGUAUCUGAAGCCUUGUUAAAAUAUUAUGCGAAGCUGGUCUAAGAAUAAAUCCCCUUAAAGAACCCGGGAUGAUGAGUCGGACUCUGCCAGCCAAAGCGGAGAUAAAGAAAAAUCAUCUCAUGAAUCCUUUUGGGUUUGAGCCCAUCAUCUGUAUUCAGUGACCCUAAUGUUUCGCGUUCUAAGUUUUGAAAUGAGAAAGGUGCAUUCUAAACUUUUUAGAGAAGGAAUUUAGUUCCGUGCAGUGGAAAGGCUGGGCAGAAGGGGGUAGAUAAUGAGGGAGGGUGGAGGACGAAAGGCCAGGAGAACCAUUAAACAGAACCAGAAAAAGCAGUUCUCCCUCACAGAAAAAUUUUGAUUUUGAAA